UACGAGAGGCCCAAACGUUAUUCGGAAUUACUGGGCGUAAAGCGUGCGCAGGCGGUUUUGUAAGCCAGAUGUGAAAGCCCCGGGCUUAACCUGGGAAUGGCAUUUGGGACUGCAAGGCUUGAGUGCGGCAGAGGAGACUGGAAUUCCCGGUGUAGCAGUGAAAUGCGUAGAUAUCGGGAGGAAUACCGAUGGCGAAGGCAGGUCUCUGGGCUGACACUGACGCUCAUGCACGAAAGCGUGGGGAGCAAACAGG
RNAcentral lists this ribosomal RNA (253 nucleotides) under uncultured bacterium. RNAcentral's name for it is "partial 16S ribosomal RNA". It matches the Rfam family "Bacterial small subunit ribosomal RNA", at positions 524 to 776 of the family's 1533-position model. The record is from RNAcentral.